RNAcentral lists this transfer RNA (62 nucleotides) under Rattus norvegicus (Norway rat). It matches the Rfam family "tRNA". From Rfam's summary of the family: Transfer RNA (tRNA) molecules are approximately 80 nucleotides in length. Their secondary structure includes four short double-helical elements and three loops (D, anti-codon, and T loops). Lineage: Eukaryota; Metazoa; Chordata; Mammalia; Rodentia; Muridae. The record is from Rfam by way of RNAcentral.
GGGGAUUUAGCUCAGUGGUAGAGCGCUUGCCUGCAAGGGCAAGGCCCUUGGUUCAGUCCCCA